CCCGCCCCCGCCCGCCGGCCGCGCUCCGGCCUCGCGCCGCUGCGGCGCCCGCGCCCCCGGAAGCUCCCUGCCGCCGCCGUGUGGACCCGCGAGGGAAGCCGGCCGCCACCGGCGCUUCUCCGAAACAAUGAUUCUGGCAUUGACUGAAGUUGGGAGCCAUGUACCUAUUAUACAGCCAAACUGAGGUCACUUAAGAAGUACUGAAAAUUAAGGAGCUGUUUUUACAAAAGCACUUCACCUAGUAGCUUCAAGCAUGAAAAAGGUGGGAAGGACUUACAGAUUUCCUAUUAUGAAUGUUAAGAUUUUGUACUGUAUUUAUUUUAAUGCCACUCCAAAAUGCAAAUAAGAUUUAGUUUUAAUGCAAAUAAGACGUGCUGUGCAAUUUCAGCCCAACAUUUACCACAUCUAGUAAAGCUUGAGCCUGGAAUCCAGAACAGGGCUGCUCCAAGAGCCCAGAAACCUUUGGAAUCGUAGAAGGAAUCUGACUGGGAAUCUGCAGACUGGAAGUUUCCUGAAAGUAAAAGAACCAAAAUGAGAUAUGCUACCCUAGUAUUGCCUCUUAAGUGAUGGCAAGGACGUGUUCUUGAGAAGACGAAACCUUUUUUGAGGGCUAAUAUUGCAUUAAAUUUCACACGUGGAGUCA
Long non-coding RNA from Myotis myotis, 643 nucleotides. RefSeq lists it as uncharacterized. NCBI's taxonomy places the organism in Eukaryota, Metazoa, Chordata, Mammalia, Chiroptera, Vespertilionidae. The transcript is spliced from 2 exons. The record is from RefSeq and is a predicted model, not a curated record.